GAGGGACGAGGAGGGAGGUU
Molecule: microRNA, 20 nt
Filed under: Apis mellifera (honey bee)
Lineage: Eukaryota; Metazoa; Arthropoda; Insecta; Hymenoptera; Apidae
Description: ame-miR-6056-5p
Source: miRBase by way of RNAcentral